Molecule: ribosomal RNA, 441 nt
Filed under: uncultured bacterium
Lineage: Bacteria
Description: partial 16S ribosomal RNA
Rfam family: Bacterial small subunit ribosomal RNA
Source: RNAcentral
CCUACGGGAGGCAGCAGUCGGGAAUAUUGCGCAAUGGAGUAAACUCUGACGCAGUGACGCCGCGUAUAGGAAGAAGGUUUUCGGAUUGUUAACUCUUGUCGUUAGGGGAGAUAAACGACUGUACCUAAGGCGGACGCCCCGGCUAACUAUGUGCCAGGAGCCGCGGUAAUACAUAGGGGGCAAGCGUUAUCCGGAAUUAUUGGGGGUAAAGGGUGCGUAGACGGAAGAACAAGUUGGUUGUUAAAUCCCUCGGCUCAACUGAGGAACUGCAACCAAAACUAUUCUCCGUGAGUGUCGGAGAGGAAAGUGGAAUGCCUAGUGUAGCGGUGAAAUGCGUAGAUAUUAGGAGGAACACCAGUGGCGAAGGCGACUUUCUGGACGAUAACUGACGUUGAGGCACGAAAGUGUGGGGAGCAAACAGGAUUAGAUACCCGAGUAGUC